GUACCUUUACUGAUGAGCAAUCAUGGUAUAAGUAUAUAUAUGUGAGAUACCAAUCUGAAAGACUUUGAAAGGUUUAAAGAAUUCAGAUAUGAAGUAGAAAAGAUAAAUCAAAAAUUUUUUGAAAGUACUUCGAUCAGAUUGAGGAUGCAAUACCAAAUAUAAAAUUUAUCGAUUAUCUAAAGAGAAUGACAUAGUUUCAUGAUAGAAUUCUCCUGGUACACCUCAGCUC
This 229-nucleotide long non-coding RNA is filed under the name Elaeis guineensis (African oil palm). RNAcentral describes it as "long non-coding RNA (EGUI_LNC002569)". The record is from RNAcentral. Lineage: Eukaryota; Viridiplantae; Streptophyta; Magnoliopsida; Arecales; Arecaceae.